This 467-nucleotide ribosomal RNA is filed under the name uncultured bacterium. RNAcentral describes it as "bacterial SSU rRNA". It matches the Rfam family "Bacterial small subunit ribosomal RNA", at positions 329 to 794 of the family's 1533-position model. The record is from RNAcentral.
CUCCAGACUCCUACGGGAGGCAGCAGUGAGGAAUAUUGGUCAAUGGCCGAGAGGCUGAACCAGCCAAGUCGCGUGAGGGAUGACGGCCCUACGGGUUGUAAACCUCUUUUGUCAGGGAACAAAGGCGGGGACGUGUCCCCGGAUGAGUGUACCUGAAGAAAAAGCAUCGGCUAACUCCGUGCCAGCAGCCGCGGUAAUACGGAGGAUGCGAGCGUUAUCCGGAUUUAUUGGGUUUAAAGGGUGCGUAGGCGGACGCUUAAGUCAGCGGUAAAAUUGCGGGGCUCAACCUCGUCGAGCCGUUGAAACUGGGUGCCUUGAGUGGGCGAGAAGUACGCGGAAUGCGUGGUGUAGCGGUGAAAUGCAUAGAUAUCACGCAGAACUCCGAUUGCGAAGGCAGCGUACCGGCGCCCAACUGACGCUGAAGCACGAAGGCGUGGGUAUCGAACAGGAUUAGAUACCCUUGUAAU